This 499-nucleotide ribosomal RNA is filed under the name uncultured bacterium. RNAcentral's name for it is "bacterial SSU rRNA". It matches the Rfam family "Bacterial small subunit ribosomal RNA", at positions 33 to 524 of the family's 1533-position model. The record is from RNAcentral.
UGACGCUGGCGGCAGGCCUAACACAUGCAAGUCGAGCGGUAGAGAGAAGCUUGCUUCUCUUGAGAGCGGCGGACGGGUGAGUAAUGCCUAGGAAUCUGCCUGGUAGUGGGGGAUAACGUCCGGAAACGGACGCUAAUACCGCAUACGUCCUACGGGAGAAAGCAGGGGACCUUCGGGCCUUGCGCUAUCAGAUGAGCCUAGGUCGGAUUAGCUAGUUGGUGGGGUAAUGGCUCACCAAGGCGACGAUCCGUAACUGGUCUGAGAGGAUGAUCGGUCACACUGGAACUGAGACACGGUCCAGACUCCUACGGGAGGCAGCAGUGGGGAAUAUUGGACAAUGGGCGAAAGCCUGAUCCAGCCAUGCCGCGUGUGUGAAGAAGGUCUUCGGAUUGUAAAGCACUUUAAGUUGGGAGGAAGGGCAGUAAAUUAAUACUUUGCUGUUUUGACGUUACCCGACAGAAUAAGCACCGGCUAACUCUGUGCCAGCAGCCGCGGUAAU